GGUUUCCGUAGGUGAACCUGCGGAAGGAUCAUUGUUGAAAACUGCACAGUUAAGCCACAUGUUAACUUGUUUUAUAACCUUUCCUUGCUGCUGGUAGGAUGGUUGCCUUGGCUCCCUCCUACCAUGGCAUGAACAAUUUUCGGCGCGGAAUGCGUCAAGGAAAACAUACAUUAACGUAAAGCCUAGCCCUUUGCUGCCGCUUGGUUGUGCUUAAGGGUGUUGGGUCGUUGAGAUUAAUAGCUUUAAUGACUCUCGGCAACGGAUAUCUCGGCUCUUGCAUCGAUGAAGAACGUAGCGAAAUGCGAUACUUGGUGUGAAUUGCAGAAUCCCGUGAACCAUCGAGUCUUUGAACGCAAGUUGCGCCUGAAGCUAUUUGGCUGAGGGCACGUCUUCCUGGGUGUCAUACAUUGCGCCGCCUCCUCACCCUCCUAUUUGGUGGGUGAGCGGGGCAGAGAUUGGUCUCCCAUGUGUCUUGCGCGCAUGGUUGGCUUAAACAUGGAGCUCGACGUAGUGAGCACUGUGAUGAUCGGUGGUUGGAUGGGUCUUGCGCCCAAGAAGCAUCAUGUCAUGAAGUGCCGCGCUGAGUUUGCUAGGAGGAUUUGGAUUGGAUUGAGAAUCUGACGCGAAUAGAUUGCUAUGAUUUGUCAACA
Molecule: ribosomal RNA, 650 nt
Filed under: Limonium cumanum
Lineage: Eukaryota; Viridiplantae; Streptophyta; Magnoliopsida; Caryophyllales; Plumbaginaceae
Description: eukaryotic LSU rRNA
Rfam family: 5.8S ribosomal RNA (bases 248-403)
Source: RNAcentral